UUCCGGUUGAUCCCGCCGGACCUGACUGCUAUCGGAUUGAUACUAAGCCAUGCGAGUCAUUGUAGCAAUACAAGGCAUACGGCUCAGUAACGCGUAGUCAACCUAACCUAUGGACGGGAAUAACCUCGGGAAACUGAGAAUAAUGCCCGAUAGAACAUUAUGCCUGGAAUGGCUUAUGUUCCAAAUGAUUUAUCGCCGUAGGAUGGGACUGCGGCCUAUCAGUUUGUUGGUGAGGUAAUGGCCCACCAAGACUAUUACAGGUACGGGCUCUGAGAGGAGUAGCCCGGAGAUGGGUACUGAGACACGGACCCAGGCCCUAUGGGGCGCAGCAGGCGAGAAAACUUUGCAAUGUGCGAAAGCACGACAAGGUUAAUCCGAGUGAUUUGUGCUAAACGAAUCUUUUGUUAGUCCUAGAACCACUAACGAAUAAGGGGUGGGCAAGUUCUGGUGUCAGCCGCCGCGGUAAAACCAGCACCUCAAGUGGUCAGGAUGAUUAUUGGGCCUAAAGCAUCCGUAGCCGGCUCUGUAAGUUUUCGGUUAAAUCUGUACGCUUAACGUACAGGCUGCCGGGAAUACUGCAGAGCUAGGGAGUGGGAGAGGUAGACGGUACUCGGUAGGAAGUGGUAAAAUGCUUUGAUCUAUCGAUGACCACCUGUGGCGAAGGCGGUCUACCAGAACACGUCCGACGGUGAGGGAUGAAAGCUGGGGGAGCAAACCGGAUUAGAUACCCGGGUAGUCCCAGCUGUAAACUAUGCAAACUCAGUGAUGCAUUGGCUUGUGGCCAAUGCAGUGCUGCAGGGAAGCCGUUAAGUUUGCCGCCUGGGAAGUACGUACGCAAGUAUGAAACUUAAAGGAAUUGGCGGGGGAGCACCACAAGGGGUGAAGCCUGCGGUUCAAUUGGAUUCAACGCCGGG
RNAcentral lists this ribosomal RNA (914 nucleotides) under uncultured marine archaeon. RNAcentral describes it as "bacterial SSU rRNA". It matches the Rfam family "Archaeal small subunit ribosomal RNA", at positions 1 to 922 of the family's 1478-position model. The record is from RNAcentral.